AUUGAACGCUGGCGGAAUGCUUUACACAUGCAAGUCGAACGGCAGCACGGACUUCGGUCUGGUGGCGAGUGGCGAACGGGUGAGUAAUACAUCGGAACGUGCCCAAUCGUGGGGGAUAACGUAGCGAAAGCUACGCUAAUACCGCAUACGAUCUAAGGAUGAAAGCGGGGGAUCGCAAGAACUCGCGCGAGUGGAGCGGCCGAUGGCAGAUAAGGUAGUUGGUAGGGUAAUGGCCUACCAAGCCGACGAUCUGUAGCUGGUCUGAGAGGAUGAUCAGCCACACUGGGACUGAGACACGGCCCAGACUCCUACGGGAGGCAGCAGUGGGGAAUUUUGGACAAUGGACGCAAGCCUGAUCCAGCCAUUCCGCGUGCAGGAUGAAGGCCCUCGGGUUGUAAACUGCUUUUGUACAGAACGAAAAGGCUCUGGUUAAUACCUAGGGCUCAUGACGGUACUGUAAGAAUAAGCACCGGCUAACUACGUGCCAGCCGCCGCCGUAA
RNAcentral lists this ribosomal RNA (500 nucleotides) under uncultured bacterium. RNAcentral describes it as "partial 16S ribosomal RNA". It matches the Rfam family "Bacterial small subunit ribosomal RNA", at positions 30 to 523 of the family's 1533-position model. The record is from RNAcentral.